RNAcentral lists this ribosomal RNA (1470 nucleotides) under metagenome. Its description in RNAcentral is "bacterial SSU rRNA". It matches the Rfam family "Bacterial small subunit ribosomal RNA". The record is from RNAcentral.
AGAGUUUGAUCAUGGCUCAGGACGAACGCUGGCGGCACGCUUAACACAUGCAAGUCGAACGAGAGAAGAGGAGCUUGCUUUUCUGAUCUAGUGGCGGACGGGUGAGUAACACGUGAGCAAUCUGCCUUUCAGAGGGGGAUACCGAUUGGAAACGAUCGUUAAUACCGCAUAACAUAAUUGAACCGCAUGAUUUGAUUAUCAAAGAUUUAUCGCUGAAAGAUGAGCUCGCGUCUGAUUAGCUAGUUGGUAAGGUAACGGCUUACCAAGGCGACGAUCAGUAGCCGGACUGAGAGGUUGAUCGGCCACAUUGGGACUGAGACACGGCCCAGACUCCUACGGGAGGCAGCAGUGGGGAAUAUUGCACAAUGGAGGAAACUCUGAUGCAGCGAUGCCGCGUGAGGGAAGAAGGUUUUAGGAUUGUAAACCUCUGUCUUCAGGGACGAAAAAAGACGGUACCUGAGGAGGAAGCUCCGGCUAACUACGUGCCAGCAGCCGCGGUAAUACGUAGGGAGCGAGCGUUGUCCGGAAUUACUGGGUGUAAAGGGAGCGUAGGCGGGAUCGCAAGUCAGAUGUGAAAACUAUGGGCUUAACCCAUAAACUGCAUUUGAAACUGUGGUUCUUGAGUGAAGUAGAGGUAAGCGGAAUUCCUAGUGUAGCGGUGAAAUGCGUAGAUAUUAGGAGGAACAUCAGUGGCGAAGGCGGCUUACUGGGCUUUAACUGACGCUGAGGCUCGAAAGCGUGGGGAGCAAACAGGAUUAGAUACCCUGGUAGUCCACGCCGUAAACGAUGAUUACUAGGUGUGGGGGGACUGACCCCUCCCGUGCCGCAGCAAACGCAAUAAGUAAUCCACCUGGGGAGUACGACCGCAAGGUUGAAACUCAAAGGAAUUGACGGGGGCCCGCACAAGCAGUGGAGUAUGUGGAUUAAUUCGAAGCAACGCGAAGAACCUUACCAGGUCUUGACAUCGUAUGCAUAGCUCAGAGAUGAGUGAAAUCUCUUCGGAGACAUAUAGACAGGUGGUGCAUGGUUGUCGUCAGCUCGUGUCGUGAGAUGUUGGGUUAAGUCCCGCAACGAGCGCAACCCUUACUGUUAGUUGCUACGCAAGAGCACUCUAGCAGGACUGCCGUUGACAAAACGGGGGAAGGUGGGGAUGACGUCAAAUCAUCAUGCCCCUUAUGACCUGGGCCUCACACGUACUACAAUGGCUGUCAACAGAGGGAAGCAAAGCCGCGAGGUGGAGCGAACCCCUAAAAGCAGUCUUAGUUCGGAUUGUAGGCUGCAACCCGCCUACAUGAAGUCGGAAUUGCUAGUAAUCGCAGAUCAGCAUGCUGCGGUGAAUACGUUCCCGGGCCUUGUACACACCGCCCGUCACGCCAUGGGAGUCGGUAACACCCGAAGCCUGUAGUCUAACCGCAAGGAGGACGCAGUCGAAGGUGGGAUUGAUGACUGGGGUGAAGUCGUAACAAGGUA